RNAcentral lists this ribosomal RNA (440 nucleotides) under uncultured bacterium. RNAcentral's name for it is "partial 16S ribosomal RNA". It matches the Rfam family "Bacterial small subunit ribosomal RNA", at positions 338 to 795 of the family's 1533-position model. The record is from RNAcentral.
CCUACGGGUGGCAGCAGUAGGGAAUAUUGCUCAAUGGGGGAAACCCUGAAGCAGCAACGCCGCGUGGAGGAUGAGGGUUUUCGGAUUGUAAACUCCUUUUGUUAGAGAAGAACAUGACGGUAUCUAACGAAUAAGCACCGGCUAACUCCGUGCCAGCAGCCGCGGUAAUACGGAGGGUGCAAGCGUUACUCGGAAUCACUGGGCGUAAAGAGGUCGUAGGCGGGACAGAAAGUCAGAUGUGAAAGCCUAUGGCUUAACCUUAGAACUGCAUUUGAUACUGUUGUUCUAGAGUAUGGGAGAGGUAGGUGGAAUUCUUGGUGUAGCGGUAAAAUCCGUAGAGAUCAAGAGGAAUACUCAUGGCGAAGGCGACCUACUAGAACAUAACUGACGCUGAUGCGCGAAAGCGUGGGGAGCAAACAGGAUUAGAUACCCGUGUAGUC